This 69-nucleotide transfer RNA is filed under the name Bacteroidota bacterium. RNAcentral's name for it is "Bacteroidetes bacterium tRNA-Sec". It matches the Rfam family "tRNA". From Rfam's summary of the family: Transfer RNA (tRNA) molecules are approximately 80 nucleotides in length. Their secondary structure includes four short double-helical elements and three loops (D, anti-codon, and T loops). Lineage: Bacteria; Pseudomonadati; Bacteroidota. The record is from RNAcentral.
GUUUAUUAGCUCAGUGGAAGAGCAUUCGUUUCAUACGAAAGGUCAUCGGUUCGAUUCCGAUAUAAUACG